UACGUAGGGGGCUAGCGUUGUCCGGAAUCAUUGGGCGUAAAGCGCGUGUAGGCGGCCCGGUAAGUCCGCUGUGAAAGCCGAGGGCUCAACCCUCGGAUGCCGGUGGAUACUGUCGGGCUAGAGUACGGAAGGGGCGAGUGGAAUUCCUGGUGUAGCGGUGAAAUGCGCAGAUAUCAGGAGGAACACCGAUGGCGAAGGCAGCUCGCUGGGACGUUACUGACGCUGAGACGCGAAAGCGUGGGGAGCAAACAGG
Molecule: ribosomal RNA, 253 nt
Filed under: uncultured bacterium
Lineage: Bacteria
Description: partial 16S ribosomal RNA
Rfam family: Bacterial small subunit ribosomal RNA
Source: RNAcentral